CGCGCGUCGGCGGUGGAGUGGGAACCAGCGCCGUCGAGUUGGGGGAGCUUCUGGCGGGUGGAUCCGACAACUCCCCGGGAGGCGGACGCAGGCGGACGGGCGGGUACUGGGAGCUGAGCGGCAAGCAGUCCCCGCGGGUCUGUGAAGGAGGUCGGUGGCUUCAGCGGGCGCCAGGCAGCUGUGAGAAAAAAUAGAAAUCACUUUUGACUGUACUGAAUAGCAAAAAUUAAGUGAUUUACUCUACUCCACACCAUGGCACUAUCAUUCCGGAAGGACUUAGAAAAGUACAAGGACCUCGAUGAAGAUGAACUCCUUGGGAAUCUAUCAGAAGUAGAGCUGAAACAACUAGAAACUGUUCUGGAUGAUCUUGACCCUGAGAAUGCCCUUCUGCCUGCAGGGUUCCGGCAGAAGAACCAGACAUCAAAGUCUGCCACAGGGCCAUUCGAUAGAGAACACCUCCUUUCAUACCUGGAGAAGGAAGCUUUGGAGCAUAAGGACAGGGAAGACUAUGUGCCCUACACUGGAGAAAAAAAAGGGAAAAUAUUUAUCCCUAAGCAGAAACCUGUACAGACUUUUACAGAAGAAAAAGUAUCUCUUGAUCCAGAGUUAGAAGAAGCUUUGACAAGUGCUUCUGACACAGAAUUGUGUGACCUCGCAGCUAUUCUUGGGAUGCACAAUUUGAUAACGAAUACACAGUUCUGCAAUAUAGUGGGAAGUAGUAAUGGUGUUGACCAAGAACAUUUUUCAAAUGUGGUAAAAGGUGAAAAGAUCCUUCCAGUACUUGAUGAGCCCCCAAAUCCAACCAACGUUGAAGAGAGUUUAAAGAGAAUUAAAGAAGAUGAUGUUCGUCUUGUUGAAGUUAAUUUGAACAAUAUAAAGAAUAUCCCAAUUCCAACCUUAAAGGAUUUUGCAAAGGCUUUGGAAACCAACACCCAUGUGAAAUAUUUCAGUCUUGCGGCCACCCGAAGCAAUGACCCCGUUGCAGCUGCUUUUGCAGAUAUGCUAAGAGUGAACAAAAAUUUGAAGAGCUUAAAUAUGGAGUCCAACUUUAUUACAGGAGCUGGGAUUCUAGCACUGAUGGAUGCUCUGAGAGAUAAUGAAACCCUGGCUGAGCUCAAGAUUGACAAUCAGAGGCAGCAGUUGGGGACAGCUGUAGAAUUGGAAAUGGCCAAGAUGCUUGAGGAAAAUACCAAUAUCCUUAAAUUUGGAUAUCAGUUUACUCAGCAGGGACCUCGAACCAGGGCAGCUAAUGCUAUAACAAAAAAUAAUGACUUAGUCUCAACUUUUCAUUGAAAUAAUCCUACCUCCUGGCCUUCUCUCCAGCUACGAAGUAUCAGAGCUAAAGCAAAGAGGUUACAUGGUUUCGCAAGAGGCGAGUUGAAGGAGACCACCAGUAAGUCCACCAGGUAUAAUCUCUGGGAGACUUUGAAGCUCACCAAGGCCUCCUGUUGUGAUGUCAGAUAAUAACAUUUUCCUGGGUAGAAGGGAAAAGACUGGAAAUCUUUUUUUUUUUUUUUUUAACUACAUGUAUCUUUUCUAGUUUAAGUUGUUACCAGUUUUAAAUUGUAAAAUCAAUAGUAGAUAUUUUGUAUUCUAAAGCAGUAUUUCUACUUUCUACUAAAAUCAGUUUUAAUUUAGCUUAAUUAAAUGGUUUAUGUUAAGUCGGGUUAAAAAAAACACAAUUGUACAAAGUUUAGAAAGUCAUUUAUGUAUUAUGAACAUUUUUAAGAAACAAUAUUUUUUAAGUCAAAAAGGGACAUUGCCGAUGUCAGAAUUGCUGUUGCACCUCUUAGGUACAAGGCACAUCAAAACUUUCCUUAUUCAUGGCAUGGACACUUUUUCCAUGGUUCAGAACACAUAAACUUGGCAAGACUGUGUCUUUUGUUACUAGCAAAGCAAACGCCAGCAUUUUAAAACAGGUGACUCAAAAUCUAGUCAUCUGUUUUGGAGCCAAAGCCGAUCUCUGGGAGAGAGGAUGCGGUGCAUCCCAUGUCCCUGCUCCUGCACCUGCCUGAGGGCCUCAGCCACACCUACAGUUGUUUUCAGCAGUCAUCAGCUUGGUCAGGUUACACACUUUGCUUAAAAGCACAGCUAUGUCUACAUUCAUUACAGUUUUUCUUUUUAAUCAUGUGGGCAUUAUUUUUGUGAAAGCUCAGAGUAAUUAACAAAAUUAUUAGAGCAGGAAAACUAUUUUCUUCCCUAUAAGAGGCAUGCAGCCAACUCUGCGUUAUUUGGGGUAAAAGAAAAAAGAAAGCUAUUGUUAAACACAUGAAAUCAAAGGUAAUAAAUGGUGGAGUUUAAGUCUGAGGAGCAUGCAGAAUGGUCAUUUAAAUUGAUAGUCACUGUAAAGUAAUUAAGAAACCAGCCUGGGUAUAAGUUGAGAGUUGCACAGGAGAGUGAGACGUUCCCAUAUGCAGUGCAGAAUUGCCUGAGUGGUGUGUAAUCGCCAAUUAUCCAGAUUUUCUAACCAAUAAGGAAAAUGGCUGUUCUUGAUAAAUCUAAUUUUUAUUAUCUCUUUCCUUUGAUCUUGUACUUUUUGGUCCACAUCUAUAGAAGUAAUUUUUCGUAACACCAGUUGUCUGCUCUUGCUCAAAGUAUUAGAGUGAACAGUUGAACAGUGUACUAGGGUGGGAAGACUGACUCCACAUCCAAUAGUGUGAUGUACAAGUUGGACCUGUAUUCACACCCUGUUUCAGGGCAGCCUCUGGAGCAGGAGGUGGCUGAGGCGUUAUAGCUACAAAAGAUGGGACAAAGAAAUCAGCAGUUGUGGCCUAACAAUGCAGGCCUGGCUGUAUCACUUAUAGGGAGAUUUUUCCUAAAGGGAAGAAUCUCAUUUCAAUAUCCAGGGUGGGGAGGGGGAGGGCUGUUAAUUUUUUAAGAAAUUUUUAUAAUUGAAGUAUAAAAUGUCUGCUCCUUUGGCUUGGGCUGGACUGUUUACCUAAUGAGCUAGGCAGCUCCUUGUGUACUAUUGUAAUAAGCCUUCUUAGCAGGCAAAAGCUUUCCUCAUGAGAACUGAGUGUGUGUCUUUUUGAAUCAGUAUCCAAUGUUUUAAAGGGGCUGAAAAAUGACUUUGCACUAUUCUGGUGCUCCCUUUCAGUUAUAGGGUGCUGGGCUUUUAUUUUAUUUUUUUCAAGUAAGCAGGUCAAGCUCACUCUUCCUCACUCUCCCCCACCCCCUUGUCAUAAGCGAAUUUGGAAAUGAACUUGAUUUUAGAGACUACACAGUUCCAGCAGGGUGGGGCCUCAGCAUGGCCAGGUAUGCAGAACUACUAGUCCACUUUCAGCAAGGUCUCCUUGCUUGCCUUGACCUAUUAGUCAAUACAUUACCCUUUCCUUCCCAAAGUUUUUUUAAUACAGGUUAGGUGGGACCCUCCCUAGAAUUGUGUUAUCAUACUUACGAGUAAUGUCUUUUUCACUUAUUAUUUAUCAAAGUGUGAUAAAAGUUGAGUGUUUUGCUUGUACCAUUCCAAUUCUGAGCUACAACAGUUAAUUAUAUAAUUGAAGAAAAGAUUUCUUAAUAAAUAAGCAUGAACAUUCAUCUGAUUGAGUACAGAAAAUCUUUCAAGAGUUGUAAUUAGAAGGGAGAAAACUGGGUGUUUACUUUGAUCUUUAAAAAUCUGGCACCUUUUACCCUUUUAAUAACUUUCAGUAUUUCUAUACUGCUCUAAAAUUUUAUAAUAGAUUAAGGUUGUGAAAUACUCCUGACUUUUUUAAACCAAAGAUUUUCUAAUAAUUUAAGUUUUUGUAGUCUAAGCAAUAUAAACAUAUCUGGUUAUCUAAACAAAGAAUAUUCUUUGCAUUUUUAAAUUUGUUUUUUUAAAAGCUUUCAAUUUCGGAGUUCCCGUCGUGGUGCAGUGGUUAAUGAAU
Phacochoerus africanus (Common warthog) is the source of this 3866-nucleotide RNA transcript. It is a transcript of the gene named tropomodulin 3, with no coding region annotated. NCBI's taxonomy places the organism in Eukaryota, Metazoa, Chordata, Mammalia, Artiodactyla, Suidae. The transcript is spliced from 11 exons. The record is from RefSeq and is a predicted model, not a curated record.